Myodes glareolus (Bank vole) is the source of this 1279-nucleotide non-coding RNA. Lineage: Eukaryota; Metazoa; Chordata; Mammalia; Rodentia; Cricetidae. The record is from RefSeq and is a predicted model, not a curated record.
CACCACCUCCAUGGCGUCCUGAUACCUGUGUUUGCUCCGCUUGCACCCAAGGCAAGGUACAUGUAAACAGAAUGGUGCCAGGCGUCCUGGCUGAGACAAGGAGGUUUCCCUUUGAAGUAGUCAAUGGUACCAAGCCUGCGGACUUAUUGCCUUUGUAAUUUUGAUCUCCACGUACUGUUCUCAAGAGAAAAAUAUCCUCUGGGGUCAAAACAGACACGUUAAAAUCAGACAAACAACCUGCCUUUGCAGGUUUCAUGUCACAGCAGUUAGGUCAAACUAAGAAGAGCUCUCUUCUGAAUUCCCAGUUCACCAGCGUUCCCGCCUCACAGAUUUGGAUUCUACCCGACCACAUUUCGUUUGCUCCCAUUAUCGAGCCUCCUGACCCCUCCAGCUAGCAGCAUUUACUAUUUGUGUUCUACAAUCGGCAGUGGGCAUGCGGCAUAUCCAGAAAUGCAUGUGCCGUCUAACUCAGAGAGCACCGUCCACAGCAGCAGCCCAUUUGGAAAGGUUCACCCAUCUGGCCAGAUGUCCCUCCUGGAGCGAGUCACCUUGCACUGCCUCCCCUUGUCCUCGGCAUCAUUUCCCUUCUGCACAGUUUGGCAGCCACAGGCUUGUAUCUCCUCCACAAAGCAUCUACACUGAAUCUUUGCAUUGGGCUUUGUUUUGGGGGAAUUUGUCUAAGUAAACAAAUAGUAGAAGCUUUAGACUGUUCCCUGGGUGCAGUUUUAGCAUUUGGAAAGUCAGAUCUUCUGUGAAGGUGCGCAUUCUAAGCGGAAUGUAUAGCUUCAACAUGUUAAUUAAAAGGCCGUAUUGUGCACACUUAGGCCCAACUCCUCCCUUUACCACUGUGUGAUCUUGUUGGUGACUUACUGCCUCACAGUGGCCCUCUCUCGCUUUCAGAUAGCAAGUGUCACUCAUCUGUGAUGGUCACUGUAAAGACUAAGAAGACAUUUCGUGUAAACUUACACGUCCCUGGGCUUCUCGGCACUAUUGACAUUUCAGGCUAGGCAUCUUACUGAUGAAGGAGACUGAUCUGUCUAAUACAGCAUGCUCAUAAACAUCGCUGACCUCUAAUUAUUGAUGCAAUAGCCUCUGCAAAGCUGGGACAAUCAAAACUGUUUACACACUGCCAAGUAUCUCUUGGAGACACAAUCGCCCCAAAUUGAGAAAAAUUAACUUGUUCUUAGCUGACAGCUGGUGCCAAAUGCUGAAUACGCGAGUAAGGCCUUCUGAGACCUUCCAGACAGUCAGUUUCCUGGCAGAAUGCAUGGGUGUGAAU